UGAUGUGAGGGCGAUCUGGCUGCGACAGCUGUCACCCCAUUGAUUGCCAGGGUUGAUUUGGCUGAUCUGGCUGGCUAGGUGGGUCUCCUGUCCUCCCUCACCACUCCAUGUGUGUCCCUCCCAAAGCUGCGCACUUGGUCAAAGAGGACAACCUUCCCCAACAGAGGCAUACCAUUCAUCAGUCAAGGGUAUACAGUAGCUGCGCUCCCCUGCUAGAACUUCCAAACAAGCUCAAGUAAGCUCUCAUAGAUCUGUAAAAGUUGUUGGAACUUUCAUUUGGGGUAGGGUUUCAGAGGAGAGAUCAGACUACGUGAUGUGGAACUCU
Molecule: small nuclear RNA, 325 nt
Filed under: Opisthocomus hoazin
Lineage: Eukaryota; Metazoa; Chordata; Aves; Opisthocomiformes; Opisthocomidae
Description: 7SK RNA
Rfam family: 7SK RNA
About the family: 7SK was discovered as an abundant small nuclear RNA in the mid-70s but a possible function has only recently been suggested. Two independent studies have found that 7SK RNA binds the CDK9/cyclin T complex (known as elongation factor P-TEFb).
Source: Rfam by way of RNAcentral